This 722-nucleotide ribosomal RNA is filed under the name uncultured Cytophagales bacterium. Its description in RNAcentral is "bacterial SSU rRNA". It matches the Rfam family "Bacterial small subunit ribosomal RNA", at positions 706 to 1435 of the family's 1533-position model. The record is from RNAcentral. Lineage: Bacteria; Pseudomonadati; Bacteroidota; Sphingobacteriia; Sphingobacteriales.
ACACGAUUGCGAAGGCAGCUUACUAAGCUAUAAUUUGACGCUGAUGCACGAAAGCUUGGGUAGCGAACAGGAUUAGAUACCCUGUAGUCCACGCCGUAAACGAUGAUUACUCGUUGUUGGCAUACAUAGUCAGCGACUGAGCGAAAGCAUUAAGUAAUCCACCUGGGGAGUACGUUGGCAACAAUGAAACUCAAAGGAAUUGACGGGGGCCCGCACAAGCGGAGGAACAUGUGGUUUAAUUCGAUGAUACGCGAGGAACCUUACCUGGACUUAAAUGUAGAUUGACAGGACUAGAGAUAGUUUUUUCUUCGGACAAUUUACAAGGUGCUGCAUGGUUGUCGUCAGCUCGUGCCGUGAGGUGUCGGGUUAAGUCCCAUAACGAGCGCAACCCCUAUCUUUAGUUACCAGCACGUAAUGGUGGGGACUCUAAAGAGACUGCCUGGGUAACCAGAGAGGAAGGUGGGGAUGACGUCAAAUCAGCACGGCCCUUACGUCCAGGGCUACACACGUGUUACAAUGGUCGGUACAAAGGGCAGCUACCUAGCGAUAGGAUGCUAAUCUCUAAAACCGGUCUCAGUUCGGAUCGGAGUCUGCAACUCGACUCCGUGAAGCUGGAUUCGCUAGUAAUCGCAUAUCAGCCAUGAUGCGGUGAAUACGUUCCCGGGCCUUGUACACACCGCCCGUCAAACCAUGGAAGUUGGGGGUACCGGAAGUCUGUUACC